RNAcentral lists this long non-coding RNA (2424 nucleotides) under Dicentrarchus labrax (European seabass). Its description in RNAcentral is "lncRNA (ENSDLAG00005034825.1)". Lineage: Eukaryota; Metazoa; Chordata; Actinopteri; Moronidae. The record is from RNAcentral.
ACAUCUGCCACUGAGGUACACUUUUUUUCAAAUCUACCCUUAAGUUCAGCCCAUUUUUUUAUAUAUAUUGCAGCUGUAUUUUAAAUUAUAUAAUUUAAGCAUGCUUGCAUCCCAUUUUGCACUUGUUUUCUUAAGAGGAAAAGAUGAACUUUCCAUGUCCUGUAAAAGACAUUUUUUGCAGUGCAGGACAAUUAGCCAGCGACAUGUCUUAAAUGCCCCUGUGUGCAAGAAUGAGAAAAGUAGCUGAUAGUUUGUUGUGAAAGUCACUGCUCCUUCAGCCCUGCAGUCUGUAUGUGUGUGUGUGUGUGUGUGUGUGUGUGGUUCAACAGUCUUAAUUCAUUUAUGAUGACGUUAAUUUUGCCAAAGCCCUUAUUUGAGACAUUAAUGCCUGAACAGUCUUACGCCACAGUUUCUAUGCUACUUGUGUUUUCUUGUCACACACGUGUGAGAAUGCCAUACAAUGUACACCUGUCAGACCUGCUCUAGGUAGUGUUCACAAAUUCAUCUUUAUUGUUUCAGGUUGAUGACAUUUGCCACAAAUAUACAUUUUAAAGUGAAUCUGGAUUCUUAACUGGACAGAAAUCAAUGUGCUGUUACAGUGAAUUCCUCCCAUUUGAGCAAAUCAUUUGUAACUCGUGCCUGUAGAGAUCUAGACCUCCAGCUGCCUGGAUGUUGGUGCUCAAUAAAAACGGAAAGGAAAUACAUCAACAUUUCAAAUGAAAAUAAGUGAGUGAAAGCUACCUCCUCAGCCAGAAGACUAAAGGUCCGUCAUUAAAGCAGUAAUCUAAAAUUGGGAUGAACAAUUAUGGACAUUAUCAAGAAUUUGAUUCAGGUGUCCUCAUUUGCUCUGUGUCUCAUGUGUAAGGAUUUGAAUGUUAUCAAGACAUCUAUUUUGUUUUUGUAUUAUAGUGUCUGUUCAUUAAAAGCCAUACUUCCACUGCUAAUUUCAAUCAAACUAAAAUAAGCCAUGGUGUAUUUCAUCAUUUGUAAGUUAAGGAAGCAGGAGGAUGUUUUUUUUUUUUUUUUUUUUUCAUAUUUCAUUUUGUCACAAUGUUGUUCGUAUCAUUGUUGUUAAAUAAUUUUGUUGCAUUAUCUAGAUGUAGAGUACAUUACAAUUAUCUGUGUUUGUCUUCCAUGUGAUGGAUUUUAAGAUGGAACAGAGUUGCUUAAUGAAGGCUAAAGGGAUGUUAGAAAAAUCUCUUUUCCUCUCUCCUUCCUCCUGCAGCCACUUCUCCUGCCUCAGUCAGGUUUUCUGUCCUCUCUCUCAUUCCCCUCCCCCCACCUUGUUUUGAUUGUGCUUUUAAUAUUCUGUAUGUUUGCCCCCUUUUUUUUUUUCUUUCCCUCACUUUUUCUUUUUUUUUUAAAUGAGCCACCUAUUUAUUUUAUCUCAAACAUGGGUCUGGAGACCACUCUGCUGUUAGUGUCUACAUGUGAGAGUGCCUGCGAGUGUGUGUGUAAAAGAAAAAUGUGAUGUUUUAAAGCUAAGGGAAGUUUUUUUUAUAGUACAUAUAUAAAUACCUGUACAGGAAGGAGUAAAUAGAGGGUUUGGUUAAAAGAAGUAUGAUCCGAAGCACUCGUCCAACAACAGUAAUAACAUUUAUCAUGGCUUGUCUGCGUUCAGGCUUACAGUGGUGGUCAUCAUUCAUACACAUUAUCAGCAGUGUGGAGGGGAAAGAGUACAGAGGAAACUACUGUAAAGAUGAUAAUGUUCAUUUUUUUUAUUUUAAACUUUGAAGUGUAAAAUAACUUUUUGACUCUCACUAUAUUUAAUUAAAGUUCUCUCUUCUCUGUGAAAAGGUGUCAGUUUUUGGUUUUGUUGCUCAUCACUGUCACUCAAACUGCAGUAUAAUGCAAAGAGCCACACAUGCGAGGAAAAGACGCAAGUGAGGAUGCAAUUAAGGGAACUGAGAUGCACCGGUGCAGUUUUCAGUGGGGAACUUCUGAGCCUCUCUGGAGGAGUCUGGAGGAGGGAGUCGGGUCGUCACAAAGACUCAGCUCACUUGUGUUAACUGCCUGAAUCCUCUAGAUAUUUGGUUUGUCCUCAGUUUAAUUUCUCUUUCAACCUGUUUUAGUUUACAUCUUGUUUAUGAUGUCUGCUCUUUGUCCCACCUUGAGUUUGAUGGUGACACUCACAUUUUAGACAGCCAAACACUAUCCAUUUGGACCUGAUUUCAAUGUUUAUCCUAAAUGAACCUGCUGAGGGUGAUAAAGCUGGAGAGAGGCAAGAAGUUCAUGAAGCGGUAAUGAAAGAGGGUUCAGCAUUGAAUGAACAGUGAGUCAAUAAAAAGUGAGUGCCUUUAUCACCAAAGAACACUGAAUUUAUGCUCUUCAUUGUCAGGAAAUAAAACCUGGAGGACAAAAACUGAAAGAUCAUAUGAAUUUAAUACCUUCAUGCAGUAAUAAAUUUGCCUUUUUGGCAGCAGA